AAUAGAUACCCGGGUAGUCCACGCCGUAAACGAUGUCGACUUGGAGGUUGUGCCCUUGAGGCGUGGCUUCCGGAGCUAACGCGUUAAGUCGACCGCCUGGGGAGUACGGCCGCAAGGUUAAAACUCAAAUGAAUUGACGGGGGCCCGCACAAGCGGUGGAGCAUGUGGUUUAAUUCGAUGCAACGCGAAGAACCUUACCUACUCUUGACAUCCAGAGAACUUAGCAGAGAUGCUUUGGUGCCUUCGGGAACUCUGAGACAGGUGCUGCAUGGCUGUCGUCAGCUCGUGUUGUGAAAUGUUGGGUUAAGUCCCGCAACGAGCGCAACCCUUAUCCUUUGUUGCCAGCGGUUUAGGCCGGGAACUCAAAGGAGACUGCCAGUGAUAAACUGGAGGAAGGUGGGGAUGACGUCAAGUCAUCAUGGCCCUUACGAGUAGGGCUACACACGUGCUACAAUGGCAUAUACAAAGAGAAGCGACCUCGCGAGAGCAAGCGGACCUCAUAAAGUAUGUCGUAGUCCGGA
Molecule: ribosomal RNA, 521 nt
Filed under: uncultured bacterium
Lineage: Bacteria
Description: bacterial SSU rRNA
Rfam family: Bacterial small subunit ribosomal RNA
Source: RNAcentral